GACGAACGCUGGCGGCGUGCUUAACACAUGCAAGUCGAACGGUGAAAGCGGAGCUUGCUCCGCUGGAUCAGUGGCGAACGGGUGAGUAACACGUGGGCAACCUGCCCCUGACUUCGGGAUAACUCCUCGAAAGAGGUGCUAAUACCGGAUACGAAUCCUGCAGGCAUCUGCGGGAUUGGAAAGUUUUUCGGUCAGGGAUGGGCCCGCGGCCUAUCAGCUUAUUGGUGGGGUGGUGGCUCACCACGGCGACGACGGGUAGCUGGUCUGAGAGGAUGAUCAGCCCCACUGGACCUGAGAGACGGUCCAGACACCUACGGGUGGCAGCAGUUUCGAAGCAUUCACAAUGGGCGAAAGCCUGAUGGUGCGACGCCGCGUGGGGGAUGAAGGCCUUCGGGUUGUAAACCUCUGUCACUGGGGAGGAAACGCUUCAAGUUAAUAGCUUGAAGCCUGACUUAACCCGGAGAGGAAGCAGUGGCUAACUCUGUGCCAGCCGCCGCAGUAA
RNAcentral lists this ribosomal RNA (502 nucleotides) under uncultured bacterium. Its description in RNAcentral is "partial 16S ribosomal RNA". It matches the Rfam family "Bacterial small subunit ribosomal RNA", at positions 28 to 523 of the family's 1533-position model. The record is from RNAcentral.